CAUGAGUGUGCCACUUCCUGAUGGGCCCAGCCCCAGAUCACAACAGUCCACACAGACCGCAUUCAAGCCCUGGUUGAAGAGAAGUCAAAGUAGGAGCUGACUCCAGUGACGUUAAGCAGCUGUCGCAGAAAUAGGAGAAAAGAGGCGAAAAGAUUCACUGUCACCAAAUCACAGUGGCUGGGAAAACACCUGGAUCCUCCACUUCUACAACAUUUAUGGAGAAUCUGUUACAUCUCAUCCCUGUUAAGUCCAGACAUGACGCUCAGGAGAGGCUAGAUCCUUUCCCUCAAGGACUAACCAUCUGUGGGGGAGAGAGUCACAAAACAGAUUCCCAAACAAGCAUUUUGUUACAAGUAAGAGCGGGACAGAUGGAGCUACUCAUCCCAGGAGGCUGGGCACAGAGAGAAGACUCACAGACACUGAGAAUAUGUGUAUUGGGAAACAGGAACCCCCAUGCCUCAACUAUGCUUCAAAAGAAAUCCACUUACACAAGAGCUAGCAAGACACAGAGGAACUCGAUCAUACCUUCUGUGACUCUCAGAUCUUCAGUAAAGUUUCUAAAUUUUGGACAAAUUUUUGCUUUGAAAACUGAUGUAGAGCAGAGCUGAGACAGCAGAGAGGAAAGUGCACCAGAAGAAGAACUAUGAAGACGCAAAGAGGAAUUUUCAGAAAGUGUUUGGAGGACUCUGAAUGGCCUCCGGCCAUGGAAGAGAGGUCAGGCCAAGGCCGAGUUCAAUCAGCUUUUUGGAGGGCAAGAAUCUUCACUUAAAAUUAGAGCAACAGGAAAAACACAGAAUAUGAACUUAUGUCAGAGUUGGACCAUACUAAUAGAAACUCGGGGGUUUUUCCCACUGGCCUAUAUAAGAGAAAAUGCACUUCUGCACUUUCCUAAGGAUUGAAUGAGGGGAAGGGAAGGAUCCUCAAGAUGCAGAGCAGAGGUAGAAGAUAGAGA
RNAcentral lists this long non-coding RNA (952 nucleotides) under Equus caballus (horse). RNAcentral's name for it is "lncRNA (ENSECAG00000060317.1)". The record is from RNAcentral. Lineage: Eukaryota; Metazoa; Chordata; Mammalia; Perissodactyla; Equidae.